This 253-nucleotide ribosomal RNA is filed under the name uncultured bacterium. RNAcentral describes it as "partial 16S ribosomal RNA". It matches the Rfam family "Bacterial small subunit ribosomal RNA", at positions 524 to 776 of the family's 1533-position model. The record is from RNAcentral.
GACGAAGGGGGCUAGCGUUGUUCGGAAUUACUGGGCGUAAAGCGCGUGUAGGCGGUUGUUCAAGUCAGGUGUGAAAGCCUUGAGCUCAACUCAAGAAAUGCACUUGAUACUGGAUGACUAGAGGACCGGAGAGGAUAGUGGAAUUCCCAGUGUAGUGGUGAAAUACGUAGAGAUUGGGAAGAACACCAGUGGCGAAGGCGGCUAUCUGGACGGUUUCUGACGCUAAGACGCGAAAGCGUGGGGAGCGAACGGG